This 3386-nucleotide ribosomal RNA is filed under the name Salmonella enterica subsp. enterica serovar Derby. RNAcentral describes it as "bacterial LSU rRNA". It matches the Rfam family "Bacterial large subunit ribosomal RNA". Lineage: Bacteria; Pseudomonadati; Pseudomonadota; Gammaproteobacteria; Enterobacterales; Enterobacteriaceae. The record is from RNAcentral.
ACUAAGCGUACACGGUGGAUGCCCUGGCAGUCAGAGGCGAUGAAGGACGUGCUAAUCUGCGAUAAGCGCCGGUAAGGUGAUAUGAACCGUUAUAACCGGCGAUUUCCGAAUGGGGAAACCCAGUGUGAUUCGUCACACUAUCAUUAACUGAAUCCAUAGGUUAAUGAGGCGAACCGGGGGAACUGAAACAUCUAAGUACCCCGAGGAAAAGAAAUCAACCGAGAUUCCCCCAGUAGCGGCGAGCGAACGGGGAGGAGCCCAGAGCCUGAAUCAGCAUGUGUGUUAGUGGAAGCGUCUGGAAAGGCGCGCGAUACAGGGUGACAGCCCCGUACACAAAAGCGCAUGUGUUGUGAGCUCGAUGAGUAGGGCGGGACACGUGGUAUCCUGUCUGAAUAUGGGGGGACCAUCCUCCAAGGCUAAAUACUCCUGACUGACCGAUAGUGAACCAGUACCGUGAGGGAAAGGCGAAAAGAACCCCGGCGAGGGGAGUGAAAAAGAACCUGAAACCGUGUACGUACAAGCAGUGGGAGCUGAGGGAAAGGCGAAAAGAACCCCGGCGAGGGGAGUGAAAAAGAACCUGAAACCGUGUACGUACAAGCAGUGGGAGCCCCACCACUAAGCCAGUGGUGAACUCCACAUACGCAUCCUUUGCUGAGGAUACGGUUAACGGAGCGCAAGCGACGUUCAACCGCAAAAGAAGCAGAGGGGGCUUAGUGGUGGGGUGACUGCGUACCUUUUGUAUAAUGGGUCAGCGACUUAUAUUCUGUAGCAAGGUUAACCGUAUAGGGGAGCCGGAGGGAAACCGAGUCUUAAUUGGGCGUUAAGUUGCAGGGUAUAGACCCGAAACCCGGUGAUCUAGCCAUGGGCAGGUUNAGGGAAACCGAGUCUUAACCGGGCGUUAAGUUGCAGGGUAUAGACCCGAAACCCGGUGAUCUAGCCAUGGGCAGGUUGAAGGUUGGGUAACACUAACUGGAGGACCGAACCGACUAAUGUUGAAAAAUUAGCGGAUGACCUGUGGCUGGGGGUGAAAGGCCAAUCAAACCGGGAGAUAGCUGGUUCUCCCCGAAAGCUAUUUAGGUAGCGCCUCGUGAAUUCAUCUCCGGGGGUAGAGCACUGUUUCGGCUAGGGGGCCAUCCCGGCUUACCAACCCGAUGCAAACUGCGAAUACCGGAGAAUGUUAUCACGGGAGACACACGGCGGGUGCUAACGUCCGUCGUGAAGAGGGAAACAACCCAGACCGCCAGCUAAGGUCCCAAAGUCAUGGUUAAGUGGGAAACGAUGUGGGAAGGCCCAGACAGCCAGGAUGUUGGCUUAGAAGCAGCCAUCAUUUAAAGAAAGCGUAAUAGCUCACUGGUCGAGUCGGCCUGCGCGGAAGAUGUAACGGGGCUAAACCAUGCACCGAAGCUGCGGCAGCGAGUAAUAGCUCACUGGUCGAGUCGGCCUGCGCGGAAGAUGUAACGGGGCUAAACCAUGCACCGAAGCUGCGGCAGCGAACGUAUCACUUAAAGCGAUUCAGCGGGUUACGAUUGACGGAGCGAAGCGACGUCAAAGCGUAUACAAAGUCGAGUCGGUUUAAGGAUACGUUCGUUGGGUAGGGGAGCGUUCUGUAAGCCUGUGAAGGUGGCCUGUGAGGGUUGCUGGAGGUAUCAGAAGUGCGAAUGCUGUUGGGUAGGGGAGCGUUCUGUAAGCCUGUGAAGGUGGCCUGUGAGGGUUGCUGGAGGUAUCAGAAGUGCGAAUGCUGACAUAAGUAACGAUAAAGCGGGUGAAAAGCCCGCUCGCCGGAAGACCAAGGGUUCCUGUCCAACGUUAAUCGGGGCAGGGUGAGUCGACCCCUAAGGCGAGGCCGAAAGGCGUAGUCGAUGGGAAACGGGUUAAUAUUCCCGUACUUGGUGUUACUGCGAAGGGGGGACGGAGAAGGCUAUGUUGGCCGGGCGACGGUUGUCCCGGUUUAAGCGUGUAGGUGUGUGUUCCAGGUAAAUCCGGUUCACUUUAACACUGAGGCGUGAUGACGAGGCACUACGGUGCUGAAGCAACAAAUGCCCUGCUUCCAGGAAAAGCCUCUAAGCAUCAGGUAACAUCAAAUCGUACCCCAAACCGACACAGGUGGUCAGGUAGAGAAUACCAAGGCGCUUGAGAGAACUCGGGUGAAGGAACUAGGCAAAAUGGUGCCGUAACUUCGGGAGAAGGCACGCUGACAUGUAGGUGAAGUGAUUUACUCAUGGAGCUGAAGUCAGUCGAAGAUACCAGCUGGCUGCAACUGUUUAUUAAAAACACAGCACUGUGCAAACACGAAAGUGGACGUAUACGGUGUGACGCCUGCCCGGUGCCGGAAGGUUAAUUGAUGGGGUCAGCGCAAGCGAAGCUCCUGAUCGAAGCCCCGGUAAACGGCGGCCGUAACUAUAACGGUCCUAAGGUAGCGAAAUUCCUUGUCGGGUAAGUUCCGACCUGCACGAAUGGCGUAAUGAUGGCCAGGCUGUCUCCACCCGAGACUCAGUGAAAUUGAACUCGCUGUGAAGAUGCAGUGUACCCGCGGCAAGACGGAAAGACCCCGUGAACCUUUACUAUAGCUUGACACUGAACAUUGAGCCUUGAUGUGUAGGAUAGGUGGGAGGCUUUGAAGUGUGGACGCCAGUCUGCAUGGAGCCGACCUUGAAAUACCACCCUUUAAUGUUUGAUGUUCUAACGUGGACCCGUAAUCCGGGUUGCGGACAGUGUCUGGUGGGUAGUUUGACUGGGGCGGUCUCCUCCUAAAGAGUAACGGAGGAGCACGAAGGUUGGCUAAUCCUGGUCGGACAUCAGGAGGUUAGUGCAAUGGCAUAAGCCAGCUUGACUGCGAGCGUGACGGCGCGAGCAGGUGCGAAAGCAGGUCAUAGUGAUCCGGUGGUUCUGAAUGGAAGGGCCAUCGCUCAACGGAUAAAAGGUACUCCGGGGAUAACAGGCUGAUACCGCCCAAGAGUUCAUAUCGACGGCGGUGUUUGGCACCUCGAUGUCGGCUCAUCACAUCCUGGGGCUGAAGUAGGUCCCAAGGGUAUGGCUGUUCGCCAUUUAAAGUGGUACGCGAGCUGGGUUUAGAACGUCGUGAGACAGUUCGGUCCCUAUCUGCCGUGGGCGCUGGAGAACUGAGGGGGGCUGCUCCUAGUACGAGAGGACCGGAGUGGACGCAUCACUGGUGUUCGGGUUGUCAUGCCAAUGGCACUGCCCGGUAGCUAAAUGCGGAAGAGAUAAGUGCUGAAAGCAUCUAAGCACGAAACUUGCCCCGAGAUGAGUUCUCCCUGAGACUUAAAGUCUCCUGAAGGAACGUUGAAGACGACGACGUUGAUAGGCCGGGUGUGUAAGCGCAGCGAUGCGUUGAGCUAACCGGUACUAAUGAACCGUGAGGCUUAACC